This is a long non-coding RNA of Rhagoletis zephyria (snowberry fruit fly), 167 nucleotides long. RefSeq lists it as uncharacterized. The record is from RefSeq and is a predicted model, not a curated record. NCBI's taxonomy places the organism in Eukaryota, Metazoa, Arthropoda, Insecta, Diptera, Tephritidae.
AACCUAGCUGACCAAUCUUUAAAUUUUUGUUUUUAAUUUUCGAAAUACAUAUAUGCAGGAAUUAGGUGUCUUUUAGGUGUUAUUCAACGCCACCAAAACUAAUUUAGGAGCUCCAUUAGUUUCUGAGUAAUUCGCAAAUAUGUGUUGGUCAGCUAGGUUUGCGUAAA